ACACCUUCACAGGGAUUUUGUUCUGGGAAUGUGUUCAGGGUCCUUUCAAGUCCCACUUGAAGAAAAUGCUUAAUAUUUAGCUGUCUGAGACCCAGAUGCUCAACUGACUUAGCAGUUGCUGAGAGCUGCCCAAUCCCCAGUUCUGACUUACUGCAGAUGUAAAGAUGCCCAGAUGGAGCCAGGCUGGAGACAAAUCAUCACUGAAUCCUGGGCCACUGACACAGGACAAAAUAAGGAUGAAAGCCUGAGAAGGGAGCAUCUGCUAUUAUUGUAGAGAAGUGAGGACUCCACCCAGGUCUGCAGGGAAGUUGCAGAGGAGACCUGCAGGGAAUGCAAAUGCAAAUGCGGAGAUGGGAAAAAAUAUGUAAGAAACUUGGAUCAACAGAAGGAAGAGAUCAGCAUCGGGAAAGCAAUAUGAGAAGACACACACCCUUAAUGAUGAAACUAUCUCAAAAAGAGGCUAAGUCAAUACAGAAAGAAACUACAAACUAUUUGGACUUCUAAAGAAAAACAAAAAACUAAUUUACCACUCAUAAUUCCAUAAAAAAUAGGAUCUCUUAUUACUGCCAUAAUUUGUCAGCCAACAGGUACGUACUCUCAUUAAAUCUUGGGCUGUUGGAGAGAUUACUUACAGAUGAACUUUCCUAAUGGGAAAGGUGAAUAAACUCGAAAAUUACUUUUCCAAGGUGAAAGUAUUUAAUAGCCAGUGACCAGAGUCUGGAUAAAAGAGAACAAACUGAGUAUAAGUACUCAGGGAAGCAAAGUACUGCUUUCAUAAGGUAUGUACUCCUGCGGCCAGCAGCAUCUGCAGGAUGAGGGAAGGGAUAAGAGAUCUUCCUUAAGACAGUGAAAGUUUCCCAAAGCCUCUGAUAUAUAGGUCACUUCUACAGACAUUAUUAUAGUGUAAGAGGCCCUUCUAAGAACACAUUUUCAUUAUGAAAAAACACUUGAAGAGACUCCUUAGAAGAGAUAAAGUAUGAGGGGGAGAUACCGACCACACAAUUUGAAUUUAAUAGAGUCAUCAUAGUUUCAAUGAGAUGUAGGACUAUAAUAGAUAUGAGGUCACUCAGAAGGAAAUCCUGUAGACUCACAUCCUCAAAGUUUACGGGGUACAUUCCCACCCUUUAGGGGACACAUUCCCACCCUCACCAACUGAACAUUCACUCUGAGAACUGUAAGAGGACAGAAUGGGGUGUAGAGAACACCUUUCACCUGUAAUGUUAAAGUCCCGAGAUUCUCUCUUGGUCUUAUUUUCCUCUCUUGUAGGAUUCUCUAAUUUGUAAUGCUGUUACACCCCUCACUGCCCAGUGUCUCUGAUUGAGGAGGAAAGAUGGUUUCAAAAUCUCCAGUUUUGGUGAAGAAUGGUAAAGUUUGCAUCAGCUGAAGGAGAGGGGUGGCAAUGACAUAUCUGGAUUUUCUCUGACAGUGUAGUACUAUGGAGUUCUAGAAAUAAUGAAGCAUCUGUAAUAAGUACCUCUGCAGGCUUAUCUAUGAGCUUGGCUGACCAAAGGCUUUUAAUGCUGCGGAGGGUUUUGAAUAUUUACUGAAAAAAAAAUGGAAUCUGAAAAUUUCCAAUGCAUUUGUAAUAAAAAUAGAAACUAUCUUUAAAAA
Ictidomys tridecemlineatus (thirteen-lined ground squirrel) is the source of this 1611-nucleotide non-coding RNA. NCBI's taxonomy places the organism in Eukaryota, Metazoa, Chordata, Mammalia, Rodentia, Sciuridae. The record is from RefSeq and is a predicted model, not a curated record.